RNAcentral lists this long non-coding RNA (216 nucleotides) under Gossypium barbadense (sea-island cotton). RNAcentral's name for it is "long non-coding RNA (GBAR_LNC000569)". Lineage: Eukaryota; Viridiplantae; Streptophyta; Magnoliopsida; Malvales; Malvaceae. The record is from RNAcentral.
UCUGACUCAAACACAUCCCACUCUUGUAACACCCCUAACUCAUAUCCGUCACCGGAUUAGGGUCCGGAGGCAUUAUUGGACAAAAACACAGCUUUGCACUUUUACUCAAGUCAUAUUCUCAUGUAUAUACAAUAUUCAAUUGAGUAUUAAUCAUGAUUUAUCAUUAAAUAAUAUACAAUCACAUCAACACUCGAAAUUUAAUCAUAUGAUCUCUAC